AGCAGUUCUUGGGUGACACAUCCCGGAAUCGGGCUCCCUCCUCCCAGGUUCUGGGAUGCAUCACCCGAGAACUGCU
Non-coding RNA from Myotis brandtii (Brandt's bat), 76 nucleotides. NCBI's taxonomy places the organism in Eukaryota, Metazoa, Chordata, Mammalia, Chiroptera, Vespertilionidae. The record is from Rfam.